AGAAUCAACGCUGGCUGCGUGCCUCAGACAUGCAAGUCGAACGCGAAAGUCCCCUUCGGGGGACAAGUAGAGUGGCGCACGGGUGAGUAACACGUAGGUAAUCUACCUUCGGAUGGGGAAUAACAACCGGAAACGGUUGCUAAUACCGCAUAAUGCAGCGGCACCUAAUGGUGACAGCUGUUAAAGCGGGGAUCGAAAGACCUCGCGUCUGAAGAGGAGCCUGCGGCGGAUUAGCUAGUUGGUAGGGUAACGGCCUACCAAGGCGACGAUCCGUAGCCGGCCUGAGAGGGCGUCGGCCACGACGUGAC
This 308-nucleotide ribosomal RNA is filed under the name uncultured soil bacterium. Its description in RNAcentral is "bacterial SSU rRNA". It matches the Rfam family "Bacterial small subunit ribosomal RNA", at positions 26 to 319 of the family's 1533-position model. The record is from RNAcentral.